RNAcentral lists this long non-coding RNA (1052 nucleotides) under Chloebia gouldiae (Gouldian finch). RNAcentral's name for it is "Erythrura gouldiae (Gouldian finch) lncRNA (ENSEGOG00005010919.1)". The record is from RNAcentral. Lineage: Eukaryota; Metazoa; Chordata; Aves; Passeriformes; Passeridae.
GGAUAUUUGGAUCACUGGGAUUUGGGAUAUUUGGGGUCUUUGGGAUUUGGGAUCUCUGGGAUUUGGGGAUUUUGGAUGUUGGGAUCUUUGGGAUUUGGGAUAUUUGGGGUCUUUGGGAUUCAGGGUAUUGGGAUCUGGAAUCUUUGGGAUUUGGGAUAUUGGGAUUUUUGGGAUGUUUGGGAUGUUUGGGAUUUGGGAUCUUUGGGAUAUUGGGAUCACUGGGAGUUGGGAUCUUUGGGAUUGUGGAUUUGGGAUCUUUGGGAUCACUGGGAUUUAGGGAUUUGGGAUAUUGGGAUUUGGGAUAUUGGGAUCACUGGGGUUUGGGAUCUCGGGGAUUUGGGAUCUCGGGGAUUUGGGAUUCAGGAUUUUUGGGAUUCUGGAUUUUGGGGAUCCCAGGAUUUUGGGGAUUCAGGAUUUUUGAGAUCUCAGGGAUUUGGGAUCUCGGGGAUUUGGGAUCCCAGGAUUUUUGGGAUUCAGGAUUUUUGGGAUCAGGGAAUUUGGGAUCUCAGGGAUUUGGGAUCCCAGGAUUUUUGGGAUUCAGGAUUUUUGGGAUCUCAGGGAUUUGGGAUUCAGGAUUUUUGGGAUUCAGGAUUUUUGGGAUCCCAGGGAUUUGGGAUCUCAGGGAUUUGGGAUUCAGGAUUUUUGGGAUUCAGGAUUUUUGGGAUCUCAGGGAUUUGGGGUCUCAGGAUUUUGGGGAUUCAGGAUUUUUGGGAUCAGGGAAUUUGGGAUCAGGGAAUUUGGGAUCCCAGGAUUUUUGGGAUUCAGGAUUUUUGGGAUCAGGGAAUUGGGAUCCCAGGAUUUUUGGGAUCAGGGAAUUUGGGAUCCCAGGAUUUUUGGGAUUCAGGAUUUUUGGGAUUCAGGAUUUUUGGGAUCAGGGAAUUUGGGAUUUUCCAGGUGCGCCGGAGCAAUUCCCUGCGGGAUCUGGUGGCCGUGGCCGGGCCCUUGGGGGUCUCCCAGUUCCUGGUGCUGAGCAAAUCCCAGACCGGGAUCAACCUGGUGAGAAUUCCGGGAAUUUUGGGAAUUUGGGGGGUUCCAGGGGGUCCCAACCCCUG